UACAGAGGGGGCUAGCGUUAUUCGGAAUCAUUGGGCGUAAAGAGCGUGUAGGCGGCCCGAUAAGUCCGCUGUGAAAGUCCAGGGCUCAACCCUGGGAUGCCGGUGGAUACUGUCGGGCUCGAGUCCGGAAGAGGAGUGUGGAAUUCCUGGUGUAGCGGUGAAAUGCGCAGAUAUCAGGAGGAACACCAAUGGCGAAGGCAGCACUCUGGGACGUGACUGACGCUGAGACGCGAAAGCGUGGGGAGCAAACAGG
Molecule: ribosomal RNA, 253 nt
Filed under: uncultured bacterium
Lineage: Bacteria
Description: partial 16S ribosomal RNA
Rfam family: Bacterial small subunit ribosomal RNA
Source: RNAcentral